This 73-nucleotide transfer RNA is filed under the name Chthoniobacter sp. RNAcentral's name for it is "tRNA-Ile". It matches the Rfam family "tRNA". Rfam says of the family: Transfer RNA (tRNA) molecules are approximately 80 nucleotides in length. Their secondary structure includes four short double-helical elements and three loops (D, anti-codon, and T loops). RNAcentral also lists the same sequence under 2 other names. Lineage: Bacteria; Pseudomonadati; Verrucomicrobiota; Spartobacteria; Chthoniobacterales; Chthoniobacteraceae. The record is from RNAcentral.
GGGCCUGUAGCUCAAUGGUUAGAGCAGGGGACUCAUAAUCCCUUGGUUGUGGGUUCGAAUCCCACCGGGCCCA